Molecule: unclassified non-coding RNA, 279 nt
Filed under: rhizosphere metagenome
Description: partial ribosomal RNA internal transcribed spacer region
Source: RNAcentral
GUAGGUGAACCUGCGGAAGGAUCAUUACAAAAGGGGGAAAAUGGAUGGGUUGAAAUGGGUGGGGGGAGAGAGGGAGUGGGAGUGGGAGUGAGAGAGGGAGGGAGAGAGAGGGAGGGAGGGAGGAGAGAGAUUGUCAUUGACAUUUUCACUCUUUUUUCUUCCUCUUUCCUCUUUUCUCUUUCCCCUCUCACUCCCUCCCUCCCUCUCUCUCUCUUUAGCAACAUUGGGCCAAUUAUAUAUCUCUCUAUACAACUUAUAACAAUGGAUCUCUGGGCUCUU